UUCUAUAUAAAUAAUUUAUAGUAAAAUCUGCUCAAUGAUAUAUUUAAAUAGCCGCAAUAUCGUGCUAAGGUAGCAUAAUCAUUCGUCUUUUAAUUAAAGACUAGGAUAAAAGAUUUAACAUUUUAAUUUAUUUCUUAAUUUUAAUAAUAAAAUUAUCUUAAAUGUAAAAAGACAUUUAUUUAAAAGAAAGACGAUAAGACCCUAUCGAACUUUACUUUAGUUUAACUGGGGCAGUUAAUAAAUUAUAAUUUUUAUUAAUUUAUUUAAAUAAAAGACCCAAUUAAAUUGAUUUAAUAAAUAAGUUACCGUAGGGAUAACAGCAUAAUAAAUUUUUAAAGAUCUUAUUUUUAAAACAGUUUAUGACCUCGAUGUUGAAUAAUUACUUAAUUAACGCAAUAGUUAAUUAAAGAAGUCUGUUCGACUUUUAAACAAUUACA
This 437-nucleotide ribosomal RNA is filed under the name Kilyana sp. CG306. RNAcentral's name for it is "partial 16S ribosomal RNA". The record is from RNAcentral. Lineage: Eukaryota; Metazoa; Arthropoda; Arachnida; Araneae; Zoropsidae.